Molecule: non-coding RNA, 4889 nt
Organism: Lactuca sativa (garden lettuce)
Lineage: Eukaryota; Viridiplantae; Streptophyta; Magnoliopsida; Asterales; Asteraceae
Source: RefSeq, a predicted model, not a curated record
AUCAACAGCUCAUCGAGCACCAUAUGGGACGGGGCGAGGGGAUUGGAUUGGGGUUAAGUUUUAGGGAUGAUUUGUGUUUGGAGUUAAUGGUGGUUAUGAAGGGGCAAAGUUCAGGCUUAUUGGGACCAAAUUUAGACCCACCAAUCCUAAAUUGAACGAAUUGGUACAAAUGAAUUCAAAAUGACAAAUCGUUCAUGCAAAGCAUAUCUGAUGCUUACCUGUUCAACAACAGGUUGAAUAUUGCUAUGGAAAAAUGUUACAUUGUCUGGUAGAAACAAGUAAGUUGCCCAAUUUCCGAUUUUAUCCCUUAUAGCAAAUAAUCUUAUCCUCUUCUUUGACUAAACAAGUGGCUUUUGUUUCUCCUCAUAAUAUUUACAUAGAUCUUAUCCUCUUCUUUGAUGACGUUCACAUAACCACCAGUGCUAGAAUCAUAUCUUCUAUAAACUUACAUCUUAGUUUCUUUAGCAUUGUUUCAUAUAAAUUUUCCCCAUCAAGUAAAUUGUCUUACAGCAGAAUCCUUCAAGCAUACCGUCAAUGACGUCUUCUUCAACUUCACCCGUUGCAAAGAGCUUUAAGUAUGAUGUAUUUUUGAGUUUUAGAGGUGAGGACACUCGUAAGAACUUCAUCGAUCAUCUUUAUUAUGCUCUUCAGCAGAAAAGCAUUUCCACUUACAAGGAUGACGAGAGGAUCAAAAAAGGGAAUAGAAUCAGUGAUGAGCUCAUGGAAUCCAUUGCAGACUCAAAAUUCUUCAUCAUUGUUUUCUCCAAGAACUACGCAUCUUCAUCUUGGUGCUUGAAUGAGCUUCUAAAGAUAAUGGAGUGUCACAAAUCAACCCAGCAGACUGUUUACCCUGUCUUCUAUGACGUGGAACCCUCUGAAGUCCGCAGUCAGAUUGGGGCAGUUGGAGAAGCCUUUGCCAAACAUGAAAAUGAAGAGGCUGCUGGGAAAUGGAGAAAGGCUUUAAAAGAAGCAGCUGAUGUGGCCGGAUGGGAGUUGAAGAACACUGCUGAUGGGCAUGAAGCUAAAUUCAUCCGACAAAUUGUUGAAAAGCUUUCACUAGAGUUACGUGCCAUCAAUGUCCGCAUUGAUAAAAAUUUAGUAGGCAUGGAGACUCGGAUCAACGGUAUUAUAUCAUCUUUAGGAACUGCUUCAGAUGAUGUUCACAUGAUUGGGAUCUGGGGGAUAGGUGGUGGUGGGAAGACAACUUUGGCCAGAGCGAUUUUUAAUAAAAUAUCCUUUCAGUUCGAAGGCAAAAGCUUUAUUGAGAAUGUGAGGGAAGUUUCAAAAGCUUCAUUGUCCGGAUUGAAUUCGUUGAAAAGUCAAAUCCCUUUAAAUGGUGGAAAGGUUCUUCUUGUUCUAGAUGAUGUGGAUCAUCUAAACCAGCUUGAGGUAUUAACCGGUGACCCUAGUUGGUUUAAACCGGGAAGUAUAAUUAUCAUUACAACAAGAGAUGAGCAAGUGCUAGUAGCACAUGGAGUAAAGUUUAUUCAUAAUGUCAAUCUGUUAUCAGAUAAGGAGGCAAUUUGGCUCUUUAGUAGGUAUGCAUUUGGGAAAGAGAUUCCAGUUCAAGGAUACGAAGAGCUCUCAAGACAAGUUGUAUGUUAUGCUGCUGGUCUUCCCCUGACAAUCAAAGUUUUGGGUUCAUUUCUCUGUGGUAAAAGUAAACCUGAAUGGGUAGAUGCCCUAGCCAGACUCAAAACAAUUCCAUUAGAGGAAACUCAGAAGAAGUUGGAACUAAGCUAUAUCAGUCUUGAUGAAGAACAUAAGGAAAUAUUCCUAGAUGUUGCAACCAUCUUAAAAGGUUGGCUGAAAAACUCGGCUAUUGAAGCACUUGAAAGCUGUGGAUUUUAUGCUAGAAUUGGUUUAAGAGUUCUUGAGCAAAAGUCUCUCAUAACUAUUGAUGGUGAUGAGUGUUUGGGCAUGCAUGACCAUUUAAAAGAAAUGGGCAGGAAUAUUGUUCGUCGUUCACACCCCAAUAUGCCCAACAAACAUAGCCGGUUGUGGGUUGGCAAGGAAAUUGAAGAUAUAUUGGCUAAUGACAUGGGUACUGAAGCAACAAGAUGUAUAAAAUUCUACUAUAGGGGACUGGAUCCGCAAAUCACAAUGAAAGGUCUUAGAAAGAUGAAAGAACUUCAGUUUCUUGAUGUGACUGAUAAUAAAGUUUACCCAAAUCCGAAAAUUAAUAAACUCAUCCCAAACUGUCUAAAUGGUUUAGAAGUUGUAUGGCGUAAUUGGAAAUCUAAUAAAGUUAGCCUGUACAUUCCGGAUGCGUUAAGAUAUUUGCGGUGGUACAAUUAUCCUUUUAGGUCUUUACCCAAAUCAUUUCAAGCAAAUAAUCUUGCUGCACUUGAGAUGGCUGAAAGCGGUAUCGUACAGCUCUGGAAAGGGGGAGAAAAAAAGGUUCUUAACAAGCUCAGAUUCCUUCUCCUCAGUGGUCCAAAGUUGAGGUCCCUUGACCUUGGGUUGACUCCAAAUCUUGAGACAUUGACGCUUGUCAAACAUGUACAUGGACCUGGAGCUGGUGGUUUGGUAGAACUUCACAUGCCCGGUGAAUGUCUAAAACUCAGAUUCCUUGAACUUGAUCAUGUAAAGUCGAGGAUGUUUGACCUCGGGCUGACUCCAAAUCUCGAAAAGUUGUAUCUAAGACGUGAUUUGGUAGAACUUCACAUGCCAGAUACAUGUCCAAAUCUCAUAUCCCUCCAUUUCAGCUUUUCAAACUUGAGAACCCUUGACAUUGGACGGACUCCGAAUCUCGAGGAUUUAUAUGUGUCCAGUUGUUAUGAUUUGGAAGAACUUCACAUGGCCGAUAAAUGUUUAAAACUCAGAUCCCUCUGCCUUGUUGGUUUAAAGCUGAGGACCCUUGACAUUGGGUCGACUCCAAAUCUUAAGAGGCUGGAUCUUCAGGGAUGCAAUGAUUUGGAAGAAUUUCACAUUGCCGAAUCUCCAAUGCUCACAUUCAUCAAGAUUGAGUGUUUAAAGUUGAGGACCCUUGAUCUCAGUUUGGUUCCUAAUCUCAAUAAGCUGUUUCUUUCUGAAUGCAAAGAUUUGGUAGAACUUCACUUGCCCGGUAGAUCUAUAAAUCUCAUCACCCUACAAUGCACUAAUUCAAAGUUAAGGACCCUUCACAUUGGGCUGUCUCCCAAUCUCACUGGAUUAUAUCUUACAGAUUGUUAUGAUCUGGAAGAACUUCAACUGGUCGAUCAAUGUCAAAAGCUUGUAUCCCUCAAAAUUAGUAAUUCAAAGUUGAGGACCCUUGACCUUGGGUUGACUCCAAAUCUCGAGAAGUUAAAUCUUAGAAAAUGUUAUGACUUGGUAGAACUUCAUGCUCCCAUUGGAUGUCUAAAAAAUCUUGUCCACUUAGACUUAAGCGGAUGUUUGGCGUUUAGAUCUUUUUUGUUUUGCUUAACAGAUAAUACUGCUGGUCUAGUGAAUGAAUCACUUAAAGUUCGUCCUUUAGCUGAGUUAUGUUUUACCCUAAAAAUAUGCCCAUUUCACCCCGACAAUCAUUUGCUGAAGUUUGAGUUUAGAUGUUUUCAUGAAGAAGAUCUACCCUCAUUGACUAGAAGUCUUGAGAAGCUUAUUUCUGCACGUCCAUGUGCUUGCACAAAACUUGAGAAGUUUUCAAGAAGCAUUUGUAGGUUACAACGUUAAAUAAAGCUUAAACUCAAUGGUAGUAAUGCAUAGGUACCCAAGAGGAGUUAUGUUUGUUGUCUACAUCUUCUACACAUAAGUCUUAUCGGCUUUUGAGAAGUUACCCAAGGACAUAUUGUGAUUAGAGAUGUCAGAUUUUUAGAGCAGCAAGAUUUGUUCCAGAAAUACUUUUUUAUAUAUGUUGGAACAUGUAGAGAGGGCUUCUUUCGGUCGUGUGAUUUUACAUCCACAGCAAGCAGGAACUAUUCUACAAGGAAGAACCCAUGCCCGUGUUAUAGUUUUAAGCUUGGCUUCAGAGAAUAGCUUCUUUAUCAUUUGUGUUAAAUUUGGAGCCUUAUUCGAGUUUAAAAUCAAAUCCAAAUGGUGAAGUAAGAAUCAGAUGUUGAAAUUCUGACAACUCAGUGUUGAUUUCAUGUAAAUUACCACACAGGUAAAAGUAGUAUACUAUAUUCCAUCUUCAUUUUGCAUCUUUUGCAUAUGAAAAUGUAUUCAUGUUACUAUUUGUCCUACUAACAUCUGAACCAUUUCCUGCAAUUAGGAGUUCUGGGAAGUGGUCUACACUCUACACACAAGAUGAUUUGCCCAACUACUUUUGGAAACUAUUUGGCUUACUUCAGUCUAUGUAAUCAAGUUUCUUUAACCAUCAUACUUUCCAAUUAAUUGUUGUUCUUGGAACAGAACCUGGGGAUUUGGUAGAAAUUGAUGGACUAAUUAAGUUGAAGCAGUACAAGGUAUUUGAUAUUGGUAUACUUAUCCUUGUUAUGGAUAUUUUCAAGCUAGUAACCAUGUGUAUGUAUUGUUUAUGUUAGCAGGUACUGAGUUUAUGACCUUUGGUAAACUACAGGGACCAUUUAUGUAAUUUCGUCUUAUCAAAAUAAUCCAUGCUCUUACUGAAUUUAAUUAAUCACGACUGUGUUGUUUUUUGUUAUUUUCUUGUUUCCAGAUUUCAUUUGACCCCACCUAGGGUUUAAGUUACGUUUGAUUUGGUGGUGUGUGUUUAAUGCAUUGCUUGAAGUUGCUACAUGUCUUAAAGAUAUAUUCUGAUUUGUUAGCUACAUUCAAUAAAGUUUUAACUCUCUAUACAAGGUUAUGUGCAUUGAUUGGUGUCUGCUAGACUGCUACGAAGACCUUCACUAAACUUGUUGCUAAAGUAUAUUAAGUAAUAUUUACGUGUGCUUAAACUGCUGCCGUGAAUCUUUAAUUAGGGUUGUAAAUUUUCUUCUAUAAGAAAAAUAAAG